RNAcentral lists this ribosomal RNA (223 nucleotides) under uncultured Actinomycetales bacterium. RNAcentral's name for it is "partial 16S ribosomal RNA". It matches the Rfam family "Bacterial small subunit ribosomal RNA", at positions 108 to 334 of the family's 1533-position model. Lineage: Bacteria; Bacillati; Actinomycetota; Actinomycetes; Actinomycetales. The record is from RNAcentral.
GAGUAACGCGUGGGUGAUCUGCCCUGCACUUCGGGAUAAGCCUGGGAGACUGGGUCUAAUACCGGAUAGGAGCCAUUUUUAGUGUGAUGGUUGGAAAGUUUUUUCGGUGUAGGAUGAGCUCGCGGCCUAUCAGCUUGUUGGUGGGGUAAUGGCCUACCAAGGCGGCGACGGGUAGCCGGCCUGAGAGGGUGGACGGCCACAUUGGGACUGAGAUACGGCCCAG